This is a long non-coding RNA of Columba livia (rock pigeon), 373 nucleotides long. RefSeq lists it as uncharacterized. The transcript is spliced from 3 exons. The record is from RefSeq and is a predicted model, not a curated record. NCBI's taxonomy places the organism in Eukaryota, Metazoa, Chordata, Aves, Columbiformes, Columbidae.
UUUUCUCCUCCGCUUCCAGUCCUGCACCAAGAUUAUCCUGGAGAGCUGUGGAUGGAGCAACGUUUCCAGUGGUACAUUCCUGAACAGCCACACUCCUUCCCUCCGCUCCUGCCUUUGAUACCAACUCUUCUGUCUCUCUGCACUCAGGAGAAUGAGGAAAGACUGGAUAAAUACAGACCUGAUUUUCCAAAGUGCAGACAAGCCUUACAAUGCAAUGUACUACCUGGCCAGGAAGGUGCAGAGCUGUCAACAUUCCUAUUGGCAAUGGCAAGAGAACAUGACUUUUCUCCCUCCCUGGAUGUGAACCCAGAAGUCACCUUAGGACUUAAAUUCUUACUUUAACUCUCAAUUCCUUCUAGUUCAAAUAGAAAGG